Molecule: long non-coding RNA, 417 nt
Filed under: Homarus americanus (American lobster)
Lineage: Eukaryota; Metazoa; Arthropoda; Malacostraca; Decapoda; Nephropidae
Description: uncharacterized LOC121861732
Source: RNAcentral
ACCUUGCAUGGGAAUAAGGGGGGGGUGAGGGGGGAUGCCCCUCGGCCCCUCCCAUUCUCAAAAAGUGUGAUAAUGAGAAAUCGAAAAAUGUUAGAGUAGAAUAUAGUGUUGUGUUGACUGUAUCGACUAACCAAGAGGAAGUAUGGUCGCCAUCCAGAGGUGGGGGAGAAGUCGAUGUUGGAAAGGAGCCAAGUGUUGUAACCAGUCGCCCUGUGCAGCAUGUGCUAAAAGGAGUUGUUGCAGUCCAGAAGACGUGAUUGGUGUGUGAUAAUCCAGAGGGACAUUAACGCUCGACUGAAUGUUGGAAAUGAGAGGCAGUAAAGGUGUUUGAGGAUGGAGUGGUGGUGGGUAGUGCCGUAACCAGGUUGGAGAAAGGGUGGACUACUAUAUGUAUGGGGCUGUGCAAUGGACUGUGUU